AAGAGUGAGUGCCCGAGUGCGAAUUAAAACUAAAGUAUAUAUUAAUUAAUUUGCCUAAUAAUUAAUUAGUUGAAGCUCAAAUAUUCCACAAUUCCACACCAACUGUACUAGAUAUGGAAGAAACUGCUCGACUACUAUCGCAAUGUGGGCUGGAUUGCUAUUUUGAUACUUUCAAGGAAAAUGCAAUAACGGAAGACGCGACGCGAGAAGAUUUGGCAACAAUUGUACCAAUACGAAACUUUGGAAGGAAUUCAGAAGUAGAAAAAUGGCACGAUUUACGUAUGUUUUCAAUGCAAAAAUUCCUAUCACCAUUACUCUCCGAUCACUUUAAAUAUGUGCAUAGGUUAUCAAAGUUAAGGCAAUUAUUUCAUAUUAUUUUUGGUUGUUUUGUAAUUGUGAUUUAAAGAGUUCAAGUGGAUUUAAUUGAAAUAAAUAUAUGCUAAUGAGGA
This is a long non-coding RNA of Folsomia candida, 449 nucleotides long. RefSeq lists it as uncharacterized. The transcript has 2 exons. Lineage: Eukaryota; Metazoa; Arthropoda; Collembola; Entomobryomorpha; Isotomidae. The record is from RefSeq and is a predicted model, not a curated record.